RNAcentral lists this transfer RNA (73 nucleotides) under Bacteroidetes bacterium 4572_112. RNAcentral describes it as "tRNA-Gln". It matches the Rfam family "tRNA". Rfam says of the family: Transfer RNA (tRNA) molecules are approximately 80 nucleotides in length. Their secondary structure includes four short double-helical elements and three loops (D, anti-codon, and T loops). RNAcentral also lists the same sequence under 1 other name. The record is from RNAcentral. Lineage: Bacteria; Pseudomonadati; Bacteroidota.
UGCCUGGUAGUGUAAUCGGCAACACAUCCGGUGCUGAACUGGAAGAGUCUUGGUUCGAAUCCUUGGCGGGCAA